Molecule: ribosomal RNA, 448 nt
Filed under: uncultured bacterium
Lineage: Bacteria
Description: partial 16S ribosomal RNA
Rfam family: Bacterial small subunit ribosomal RNA
Source: RNAcentral
UUCCAGACUCCUACGGGAGGCAGCAGUGGGGAAUAUUGCACAAUGGGGGAAACCCUGAUGCAGCGACGCCGCGUGAGCGAUGAAGUAUUUCGGUAUGUAAAGCUCUAUCAGCAGGGAAGAAGAUGACGGUACCUGACUAAGAAGCCCCGGCUAACUACGUGCCAGCAGCCGCGGUAAUACGUAGGGGGCAAGCGUUAUCCGGAUUUACUGGGUGUAAAGGGAGCGUAGACGGCGAUGCAAGCCAGAUGUGAAAGCCCGGGGCUCAACCCCGGGACUGCAUUUGGAACUGUGUGGCUGGAGUGUCGGAGAGGCAGGCGGAAUUCCUAGUGUAGCGGUGAAAUGCGUAGAUAUUAGGAGGAACACCAGUGGCGAAGGCGGCCUGCUGGACGAUGACUGACGUUGAGGCCCGAAAGCGUGGGGAGCAAACAGGAUUAGAUACCCGUGUAUA